AGGGUUAUGGCUCAGUGGUAGAGCACUUGCCUAGCAAGUAUGAGGCACUGGGUUUGAUCCCUAACACCA
This 69-nucleotide transfer RNA is filed under the name Ictidomys tridecemlineatus (thirteen-lined ground squirrel). RNAcentral's name for it is "Spermophilus tridecemlineatus (thirteen-lined ground squirrel) tRNA". It matches the Rfam family "tRNA". Rfam says of the family: Transfer RNA (tRNA) molecules are approximately 80 nucleotides in length. Lineage: Eukaryota; Metazoa; Chordata; Mammalia; Rodentia; Sciuridae. The record is from Rfam by way of RNAcentral.